This 437-nucleotide ribosomal RNA is filed under the name Wolbachia endosymbiont of Prociphilus ligustrifoliae. Its description in RNAcentral is "bacterial SSU rRNA". It matches the Rfam family "Bacterial small subunit ribosomal RNA", at positions 992 to 1428 of the family's 1533-position model. Lineage: Bacteria; Pseudomonadati; Pseudomonadota; Alphaproteobacteria; Rickettsiales; Anaplasmataceae. The record is from RNAcentral.
CAUACCUAUUCGAAGGGAUAGGGUCGGUUUGGCCGGAUUUCACACGGGUGUUGCAUGGCUGUCGUCAGCUCGUGUCGUGAGAUGUUGGGUUAAGUCCUGCAACGAGCGCAACCCUCAUCCUUAGUUACCAUCAGGUUAUGCUGGGGACUUUAAGGAAACUGCCAGUGAUAAACUGGAGGAAGGUGGGGAUGAUGUCAAGUCAUCAUGGCCCUUAUGGAGUGGGCUACACACGUGCUACAAUGGUGAUUACAAUGGGCUGCAAGGUCGCAAGGCUGAGCUAAUCCUAAAAAAUCAUCUCAGUUCGGAUUGUUCUCUGCAACUCGAGAGCAUGAAGUUGGAAUCGCUAGUAAUCGUGGAUCAGCAUGCCACGGUGAAUACGUUCUCGGGUCUUGUACACACUGCCCGUCACGCCAUGGGAAUUGGUUUCACUCGAAGCU